GGGGUCGUCAGAUAAUUGGUUAAUCUAUUGUGUUUGCAUCACAAGAAUCUGGAUUCGAGUUCCAGCGUCUCCA
RNAcentral lists this transfer RNA (73 nucleotides) under Clavulina sp. Its description in RNAcentral is "tRNA-Ala". Lineage: Eukaryota; Fungi; Basidiomycota; Agaricomycetes; Cantharellales; Hydnaceae. The record is from RNAcentral.